Long non-coding RNA from Brienomyrus brachyistius, 419 nucleotides. RefSeq lists it as uncharacterized. Lineage: Eukaryota; Metazoa; Chordata; Actinopteri; Osteoglossiformes; Mormyridae. The record is from RefSeq and is a predicted model, not a curated record. The transcript has 3 exons.
AGUUCCCUUCGCAGUUUUGAACAAAGGUAUUGUGUUUUACUGCAAAAAAAGGCGUUGCGCUCCAUUAAUCUGCGAUCGCAGCUUCUCCAAAGUUGUGCUUCUCAGCACCAAGAAGCAGGAACCUGGAACCAGACUAGAAACCGCCGAGAUUCAGCUCCAGUGUCCCGUGGAUCCGUUUGCUGGGAGAUGGAGGCUUUUUCGCAGGGGCUCGCCGGUGUUUUCACGGACAUCCGAACGCGGCGCUUCCUGCGGACACACUCAGCUGCGGAAUGGGAGCUGGGAUUCGGGCCGAGCAUCAGGCGUCGGGGAAGAUGUGGCCCGUUUAUGCAGAAUCAGCCGCCCUUCCCAUCGAAGCCCACGGUGUCGGGUGUGAAAGAGCAGGGAGGAGGAGGAGGAGGAGCAGAUGGAGAAAGACGCAA